RNAcentral lists this ribosomal RNA (263 nucleotides) under uncultured Idiomarina sp. RNAcentral describes it as "partial 16S ribosomal RNA". It matches the Rfam family "Bacterial small subunit ribosomal RNA", at positions 584 to 845 of the family's 1533-position model. Lineage: Bacteria; Pseudomonadati; Pseudomonadota; Gammaproteobacteria; Alteromonadales; Idiomarinaceae. The record is from RNAcentral.
UAAGCAAGAUGUGAAAGCCCCGGGCUCAACCUGGGAAUGGCAUUUUGAACUGGCAAGCUCGAGUUUUGAAGAGGGGGGUAGAAUUUCCUGUGUAGCGGUGAAAUACGUAGAUAUAGGAAGGAAUACCAGUGGCGAAGGCGGCCACCUGGUCAAAAACUGACGCUGAGGUACGAAAGCGUGGGGAGCAAACAGGAUUAGAUACCCUGGUAGUCCACGCCGUAAACGAUGUCAAGUAGUUGUUCGUGUCAUUAACGAUGUGAGUA